UGAGCCUGCGUAGGAUUAGCUAGUUGGUAGGGUAAAGGCCUACCAAGGCGACGAUCCUUAGCUGUUCUGAGAGGAAGAUCAGCCACACUGGGACUGAGACACGGCCCAGACUCCUACGGGAGGCAGCAGUGGGGAAUAUUGGACAAUGGGCGAAAGCCUGAUCCAGCAAUACCGCGUGUGUGAAGAAGGCCUUAGGGUUGUAAAGCACUUUCAAUUGGGAGGAAAAAACAAGGGUCAAUACCCCUUGUCUUGACAUUACCUUUAGAAGAAGCACCGGCUAACUCCGUGCCAGCAGCCGCGGUAAUACGGAGGGUGCGAGCGUUAAUCGGAAUUACUGGGCGUAAAGAGUGCGUAGGCGGCUCGUUAAGUCAGAUGUGAAAGCCCUGGGCUCAACCUGGGAACUGCAUUUGAAACUGGCGAGCUAGAGUUGAGUAGAGGUAAGUGGAAUUUCAGGUGUAGCGGUGAAAUGCGUAGAUAUCUGAAGGAACACCAGUGGCGAAGGCGACUUA
Molecule: ribosomal RNA, 509 nt
Filed under: uncultured bacterium
Lineage: Bacteria
Description: bacterial SSU rRNA
Rfam family: Bacterial small subunit ribosomal RNA
Source: RNAcentral